UAAUUGGAAGGAAAAAUGAAAAUGGCUGCCAUGGAAGAACCAAUUCUCUCCAGACUAAAUCGAUUGGAUAACAUUGUAAGUAAAUUUAUCGUCUUUUUCAUUUUUUUUGUAUUUAUUUAUUGGGCUAUAAAUUAAGAAGCCCUCUGAGUUAUGAUUUCUUGUUAAUUUGGGUGGAAUAGUAAAAAUAGAAAAAGAAAAUGAUAAAUUCUUCUUGAGUUUUGAUAACUAGGAUGUUACAUAGAGGUACAAUAGAUUCGAUAAUUUGGUAUUAAUUUGAGUAUUAGAUUUUUUGUGGGUUGGUAUUAGUUUUUAAGCUUCUUGUCAAGCUAAUUAAAAGUGCUGGUGUCUUGAUCAAAAUGUUGAAAAGAUAGAAUUCAUAAAAAAGAAUGUCACACUGUUUGAAGUAAUAGAAUAUGUAGGAAAUAAUAUGGACCUAUAAAGAAGAUUACUCGACUUGCUUUUUACACCC
This 469-nucleotide long non-coding RNA is filed under the name Olea europaea subsp. europaea. Lineage: Eukaryota; Viridiplantae; Streptophyta; Magnoliopsida; Lamiales; Oleaceae. The record is from RNAcentral.